RNAcentral lists this long non-coding RNA (4005 nucleotides) under Gossypium barbadense (sea-island cotton). RNAcentral describes it as "long non-coding RNA (GBAR_LNC018773)". Lineage: Eukaryota; Viridiplantae; Streptophyta; Magnoliopsida; Malvales; Malvaceae. The record is from RNAcentral.
AAGAUUUUGAUUAUUUAGAUUUAGUAUUUUAUUUUUUCAAUUCAAUUCUUGUUUUUAUUCAAAAUAUUUUUUUUACUUCAUCUUGUUGGAGGAAGUUGUUCGAACUCUGGGUUGCCAAGAAUUUGUUCUUGGAGAGUUGAUUAGAGCCACUGAUUGAGUUUGUGAGGAAAUCUUUCUUGAAGGGUUGAAUCCAAAAAUUAUCCUGCUCUUCCAUAUUCCAUCUAUUUAUAUAUUCCAUCUUUCACCUUUACUUUUGUUUUCUUUAUGUAUCUUGUAGUUUAGUUUCAUUUUAGUUACUAUACUUGAUGCUUUGAUGUUCUUAGGUUUCAAGAAAGCAUCUUCUCAAGUCAGAUUUAUUCCUUGGAGGCUUUAAAUCAUUAGGUCAUUCUUCUUGCCAUAAAACCAACUUUAUUCUUUCAUUUCCUUUACCUUUCUUAGUCUUUUCUUUUCUUGGAGGUUUAUCUUAUUUCUCACUUUCUUUGUUAUUUUCAGGCUUAAAAACUCACUUUUCUUGCUACCCAUGACACUAGGAUUUGGUCUAGAGCUAACAAGUCAAAAUCGAGUCAUUUUCUCUUGAAACAACUUUGGAUUAACUUGGGACCUUAUGUAUACUGCCCUCCUCUUAUAUUGUACCAGAUUUUGGGCCUCUUGUUAUCCCUAAACUACAUUUGUGCCUUCGUUCUACCAUCAUGAGAAUAAUAAGAAACUUCAAUUCUCACACAAGGUAUGAGAUCCGUUUAUGGUUAUUUUAAAGAGAUUGAAAUAUUGUUGAAUUGUGCUAUGUUACAUGAGGAUGAGGAUACCACUAUCGUUCAAUUUCUAACUUAUUUCAAUAAUAAUAUCCAAGACUUACUUGAAACGCAAGAUUUGUUGGAUAUUCAAGAUUUGCUUCAAAAUGCAAUCUUAUUUAAAGAAUAGGUGAAAUGACAUGGUAACUUUUGGAAUGCACUUUCAGUCAUUUGGAAAAAUUUGAAGUCUUCCCCACCUUUAAGGUUUCAAAUCUUCCACAAGCUCUUAAACUUAUUCUUGGUCAACUUACGAUACUCAACCUUAACACUCUAAAAGCAUGUGGUAAAUUUACAAGGUACACCAAAUAAUUCCAUGUUUUCCACUACUUCACUUACAUCUAUUAUUUCUACUGGUAGGUAAUGUUCUCGUGAGAUGUAAUGUUUUAAAUGUACUGGCUAUGGAAACCUUACCAUGAUUAUCCUAAUUGCAACUUAAUGAUAAUCUAUUGAUAAGGAAAUAUUGGAACCCAAUGACGAAGGGGAGGAACUUGAUCCAUCCCAAUGUCAUGUGGUCGCCAAGCACUUAGUGCAUAGGUUUGAGAUGAUUCAAACAUGCAGUGCGACACAAUCUUUCAAACAUGCUUUAAGGUUCAAGGUAAACUUUCUUCCUUGAUAAUUGACAGUGAAAGUUGCGAUUAAGUGUUUAGUAACUUAUUGGUAGAUACUUAGAAAUUACCUUGUCGAAAACAUUAUAAGCCAUAUCAUCUUCAAUGGCUUAAGGAAGGUUCUGAGGUAAAUGUUCUUAAAUAGUUCCUUAUUUCAUUUCCCAUUAGAAACUAUUCUGGUGAUGUUUGGUAUGAUGUAGUCCUAAUGCAUGUCGUCUAUUUACUUUUUGGGGCACCCUUGGUAAUUUAAUCAAGAUGUAAUCCACCAUGGUAAACAGAACUAGUAAUCCUUUUUCUCUAAAGGGAAGAAAUUUACUUUGACUCCCAUGGCUCAAAAUGAAAUUUACAAAGAGUAUGUUAAAAUGUCAAAAAAUUGUUCUGGGUUAAGGUAGGUAAGGAAUUAAAAGCCAAGAGUGAAGAGACCAAUAGUUAGAAAAGCCAAAAUAAUGAUACAUUGAUGAGUGCAUCCCUCUAUGAAAAGAAAAGAGUGAAACAACACUUUUAUUUGAGAGAAAAAGAUGAGAGGGGAGCCCUUUUCUCAAAAAAAUCCUUUUAUCCUAACCCAAUUUAGGUAAAUAAAUUUAUCUUUAUCUAACCUUAAAAAAAAUUACCUAGUAUGUUUGUUUCUCUUUUGCAAGAAUAUGAUGAUUUCUUUGCUAAUACGUUGAUACGAGAGACCGAAAUUGGAUUUUCAGAGCUCGUACAAGACACUCAAAGUUUAUGACUUUUUCUUCAAAUGAAAUUAACUUAUUGCAAUAGUAGCUUCUAGAAUGAAGUUUGUGGGUUCAAAUCUGAAAAUUUCUAACAAGAAUUAGAUGAUAAAUCAAUGGAAAAUAAAUAAUUAAAGAAUCAAAGAUGAUAAAUAAAAGAUGAUAGAUAUUUAUCGAAAGAAGAUGAAUGAUGUUGAUUAUAAAUAGUUGGAUUGAUAGCCUAGCCCUAUUUGCUAAAUUUGCACCAAAAAAGAACUAUAUUGGGCUUAAUCAACCAUCCCAGUUGACUUAAAUUAGGCAAGCUAAAUUUAUGAUGAACCCCCUCCACAAUUUUGAAGAAUUGAAGCAAAAGUUUUAUCAAGAAAGAACCAAGAAACUAGUGUUGUAAGCAAAUCUCCCUUAGAGUAUUUUAUUACUAAAAAAUAAAGCAAAAUACUUAUGGUGGCUAGAGAUGCUUAGUUAUUUGUAAGCAUGUAAGUUCUACCUGAACCUUAAGGACUUAGUCAACUAUCUUGCAAAGUAAGUAACAUUAAGCUCCUUAGACCUAGUCAAACUCUUAUUAAUAUAAAAUAUUAAAAAUUAGAAAUAAAUAAAUAUAACACUUAAUAAAUACAUUUUUUUAGAUCAUAAAUAUCAAACAUUAAAAUUGAACACAAUAUGAUUUAAAAGCUGAUUCGACAUAUAAUACUUGAAAUUGAGGAUUUAUUCAUGUAUAGAAAAUUUUAUUAAUGUAGUUUUCACUAAAAUAGUCAUAUCUUAAGCUCCAAAAGUCAAUAUAAGGUGAUUCAAAUUGUGUUUCGAAUCCAAGAGACAUUUUUUUCAAUCAAAAGACAUCUCAACCCAAAAUACCUGCAUCUCAUACAAAAAUGUGUCGUAAGUUGACUGAUCAUUUAGACUUGAAAUUUGACAUCGUUGGUGAAACUAAUUUAAUGAGUCUCAACCCAUCUGUGCUUGCUUCAUAUGCCUAAGGGAUUGCCACCUAUCACAUAUUUUUGUGAAAAGCUACAUGGUGCACAACUUAAUUAUUUGAUCUAUAAUAAGGAAUUGUUAGCAUUAGUUCCAGUACUUGAAGUUUCACAACAUUAUCUCUUACUUAACUUUGUUUUAUUAAAACUUCAGAUUUUUUGCAUGAACUUCUUUUAUGGCUUUAUAUGUGAUCUACCACGAAUGGCACUAUUAUUUACGUUCCUUUUUACCCAUAAGUAUAGCUUGUUUAAUAGCAAAUCAAAGAAUCUUUGUAUAUAUUUAGGUUUUUGAUCUGUCAUAAUUCGAUGUAGUAGAUUAAACUAGUUUUCCCAUUUAAGGAGCUUGAAUACAAGCAUUUUUGUUAUGUUUUCGUUAAGUUUUCUUAGUUUUAUUUAUAUUCAAAUAAAAUGUGCUAAUUGAGUCUUUUAUUGACCUUAGCGGUCGAAUAAGGCCUAUGGGUGAGCCAACGCACUUUGUGAGUGUGCAAGAAUGGAGAAAGCUCAAGACUGCUUUUGAUGUCACGAUACAAACAGAGGGUGUCACGACAUACCUUUGAAAAUAGUUGAAAAGGAGUAUACUGAUUUCUAUGUCGAGAUACAUGUUCUAGUGUGCCAUGACAUCGACUCUGUGACAGAAAUUAAACAUGAAUCAAGGGUGCUUUGGUCUGUACAAUCAAACUUAAAGCUCAGGAACGUCAGCUAACCUCUGGUUAAGGACGAAGGCUACUUGAGGGCUAUAAAUAGGCUCAUUUGUCACUUGUUAUGGACAGCAUUCCUUUAGCCCAAAUUCUCUGUGUAAGAUUUAGUUUAGUAUUUUCUUUCAUUAUUAGGUUUUAGAUUUAUUUUGGUUGUUCUUUUUGAUUUCAAGAGAUCUAAAUUAUGGAAGCAUUCAAACUUUGUGGAUUCGCGAUUAAUCUCAAUACAAUCAAGCUCUUUC